UUAUGAUAGAGGUGCAGAUGCUAAGAGUACCGCUGUAAAAAGGCUUCGCAGGCUAUGUGCAGCGCGAAAGGCGUAUCUGCCGAAAGGUAAGUCAGGCGUAAGCUUACCUUGGUAAUGCGGACAAUAUCCGUAGUACUGUCGCCGGUCAGACUGUGCGGAGAGCUAUCUU
RNAcentral lists this non-coding RNA (169 nucleotides) under bovine gut metagenome. RNAcentral describes it as "Lysine riboswitch". It matches the Rfam family "Lysine riboswitch aptamer". Rfam says of the family: Riboswitches are metabolite binding domains within certain messenger RNAs that serve as precision sensors for their corresponding targets. The record is from RNAcentral.